This 250-nucleotide ribosomal RNA is filed under the name uncultured prokaryote. RNAcentral describes it as "partial 16S ribosomal RNA". It matches the Rfam family "Bacterial small subunit ribosomal RNA", at positions 524 to 772 of the family's 1533-position model. The record is from RNAcentral.
UACGUAGGGGGGCAAGCGUUAUCCGGAUUUACUGGGUGUAAAGGGAGCGCAGACGGGUUAGCAAGUCUGAAGUGAAGCCCCACGGCUCAACUGUGGGCUUGCUUUGGAAACUGUCAACCUAGAGUGCUGGAGGGGCAAGCGGAAUUCCUGGUGUAGCGGUGAAAUGCGUAGAUAUCAGGAGGGACACCGGUGGCGAAGGCGGCUUGCUGGACAGUAACUGACGUUCAGGCUCGAAGGCGUGGGGAGCAAA